RNAcentral lists this ribosomal RNA (497 nucleotides) under uncultured bacterium. RNAcentral describes it as "partial 16S ribosomal RNA". It matches the Rfam family "Bacterial small subunit ribosomal RNA", at positions 28 to 507 of the family's 1533-position model. The record is from RNAcentral.
GAUGAACGCUGGCGGCGUGCCUAAUACAUGCAAGUCGAGCGAACAGACGAGGAGCUUGCUCCUCUGACGUUAGCGGCGGACGGGUGAGUAACACGUGGAUAACCUACCUAUAAGACUGGGAUAACUUCGGGAAACCGGAGCUAAUACCGGAUAAUAUAUUGAACCGCAUGGUUCAAUAGUGAAAGACGGUUUUGCUGUCACUUAUAGAUGGAUCCGCGCCGCAUUAGCUAGUUGGUAAGGUAACGGCUUACCAAGGCGACGAUGCGUAGCCGACCUGAGAGGGUGAUCGGCCACACUGGAACUGAGACACGGUCCAGACUCCUACGGGAGGCAGCAGUAGGGAAUCUUGCGCAAAGGGCGAAAGCCUGACGGAGCAACGCCGCGUGAGUGAUGAAGGUCUUCGGAUCGUAAAACUCUGUUAUUAGGGAAGAACAAAUGUGUAAGUAACUAUGCACGUCUUGACGGUACCUAAUCAGAAAGCCACGGCUAACUACGUG